CCUACGGGGGCAGCAGUGGGGAAUAUUGGACAAUGGGCGAAAGCCUGACCAGCCAUGCCGCGUGUGUGAAGAAGGCCUUCGGGUUGUAAAGCACUUUCAGUGGGGAAGAAAGCCUUGGGGCUAAUACCCUCGAGGAAGGACAUCACCCACAGAAGAAGCACCGGCUAACUCCGUGCCAGCAGCCGCGGUAAUACGGAGGGUGCGAGCGUUAAUCGGAAUUACUGGGCGUAAAGCGCGCGUAGGCGGUCUGAUAAGCCGGUUGUGAAAGCCCCGGGCUCAACCUGGGAACGGCAUCCGGAACUGUCAGGCUAGAGUGCAGGAGAGGAAGGUAGAAUUCCCGGUGUAGCGGUGAAAUGCGUAGAGAUCGGGAGGAAUACCAGUGGCGAAGGCGGCCUUCUGGACUGACACUGACGCUGAGGUGCGAAAGCGUGGGUAGCAAACAGGAUUAGAUACCCUAGUAGUC
Molecule: ribosomal RNA, 463 nt
Filed under: Vreelandella stevensii
Lineage: Bacteria; Pseudomonadati; Pseudomonadota; Gammaproteobacteria; Oceanospirillales; Halomonadaceae
Description: partial 16S ribosomal RNA
Rfam family: Bacterial small subunit ribosomal RNA
Source: RNAcentral